UAGACUCUUGAGCUGAUGGAAGGCAGAAAUCUUUUUGAUCCCAUUGAUCACAUUCAUAACCGGUAUGUCCUUCCGCUGGCAUUGGCAUAGUGUAUUGCAUAUCUUGGGCCUCCACCCCUUACACUGAUCCAACGGAGCCCCAUCUUUUUGACCUAUUUUGACAAAUAUGGCAAAUUUAAAUUCGAAACAGAAAUCCCCAAGGCUUCUCUUGAGGAUUUUGUCACCUUGACUUGGGAUGCGGAAGCUAGACCAACCUCCUCAAAAAUUAUUUUAGAUGACUUGCUAAUGAUGCUAUAUGAGACAAUGGUGUAGGUUGUGCUUCAAGCUUACCCACCCAUGCGCAAACCUCUGAGAAUCAAUAUAGAGAAGUGCACAAGCGGAUUAAGAGAGCGCAUUGAAAAAUAUGUCGGACAAAUAGCUAACUGAGACAGGGAUAAAGGCAGUAAACAUACAAAAGAGAGGGGAAAAGAGGGGAAAAAAGCAAAGCCAUCUCUGUGCCUAAUCCGUGCGCCGCCUCCGCUUUCCCAGAUUCCAAAUAAAAACUAUAAAACAAGAGUAUUGUGACAAAAGAAUCUUUCUCUCCUAGUAAAUGACAGCGUGUUUACUUGCCUGUCGAUUGACUCGCAUGUUCCCUCUAUAUAGGCAGGCGAAGAUUAUGAAUGAUGCUUCCACAUCUCAGGCAUGUCGUGUAUGAGUAUAGGCCAGGUAUGACAGGCCGAUAUCGAUGUGAAUGAGAUCACUUGUGAAGAAUCAGUCUUUCACAAUUGGUUCUGGAAUUUCUUGUGUUUCUUCCGUGCCCGCCCAUCCAUGGUGGGUGACAGAUGGCAGAAGACAUCAGACACUAACAGUCCAAAACUGCAAAAUGCAACCGUUUCGAUUCAUCCACUCCCGUCAUCAAACAAUCUAAUCAGCAAAGCAUAUCCCAGCACCACUACCAACCCAACCCACAUUUUAUGUCGUCGAAUCCAGCUCUGACCCACGUCCCGUGCAGCCUGACCGCCUUCCAUCACCGCCCCAAGCCCCGCCGCACUGCCCGCAUGUCGUCUGCGUAAUGCGCUCGCUUCCGGCGAACACGUUGUUCCCCCACUCCCGCCAUUCGCGGAAGAGCCACUGCUGCUACUAGGAUCCGGCAAAAAUUGUCCCGUAGCCGGAUCCACCCGAUUCUCCCUCAUCCACUUCCAAUUCUCCUGGUCCAGCUCCGCCCACUCGGUACGGAAUUUCAGACCCCCAUCGCCAGCUUUCACAUUCCCAAUGCUCCUCGUCGACGGCGACACGCCUGCAACUGCUUUAGCAUGUGACCCGCCGCCUGUCGAGUUCCACCACCUCGAGCGCGCAGCGAGGAUCUUGCGUUCAGACUCAGAGGCA
RNAcentral lists this small RNA (1365 nucleotides) under Histoplasma capsulatum var. duboisii H88. RNAcentral describes it as "Histoplasma capsulatum H88 hypothetical RNA". Lineage: Eukaryota; Fungi; Ascomycota; Eurotiomycetes; Onygenales; Ajellomycetaceae. The record is from RNAcentral.